RNA transcript from Brassica napus (rape), 2057 nucleotides. RefSeq lists it as uncharacterized. The record is from RefSeq and is a predicted model, not a curated record. Lineage: Eukaryota; Viridiplantae; Streptophyta; Magnoliopsida; Brassicales; Brassicaceae. The transcript has 2 exons.
ACUAUUUAUAUUUCACUUAAUUUAACCAAACACAUAGAAAAAGUCAUUUUUAUUAGUUUAUAAAAUCAGUUAGGCAUGAACAUUGACUAUUUAUUUAGGUACGAGUUGUUCUUUUCACGUAUCGGUGUUUUUGUUUAGAAAUUAGGCUCCCUUUGAAUAUUAUAAAUUUAUGUGUGGGUUUUGAGUUGAGUCAUUUUGUGUCUGGAUGAGUUCAGUUAUGAUGUAUAAGAACCUAAAAAUAUUUAAAUAACAAAUAUAUCUGACAUGGUUCGGAUAAACCAUAUUACAUGAUUCAGUUUAGAUCUUUUGAAUACAAUUAUUUACAUUACAAUCCAUCUAAAACAUAUAACACUAAUUAUGAAAACAAAUAUCAAUGCAUAAAAAUAUAAAAACUAAUACCCACGCGGAUGCGCGGAUCAAUCUCUACUAUUUUUUACAACAAGACGACAAAACAAAGCAAAAGAAAAUUUAGCCAAGACAGAAAUAGACAAAAACCCAACCGUAAGCAUGCUAAAAGCAUUUCCAACAGCAGUUUCUAGAAAAGGUUCUCAACAUUUAAGAGAAAAUAAUAACAAAAUCAGGAAAAAAAAUACCAAAAGUUCUUGUUUCAGAGCUUUAAGAGUAUGUUUAUUGCAGAUUUUUAAGUGUGUAUCUUAGGUAAUUAGGAAUUAAAAAGAAAAGAAAAAAUACCAUUAACUUAAGCAUCGGGUCUUAAUUAAGGCUUGGAAAAAGCGGUUCUUCUUAGCCACGUGUUCUAAAGCUAUUAGCUUUGUGUUUUUGUUGGAAAAGAAAAGAGGCAAAGGAAAGACGAAACACAUCUUCUCCGUCUUUCAACUCCUCGACGAAGACGAUCGGUGGUCGCAUCCUCGAUGAAGACGAUCGGUGAUUUUGUCGACGAAGAAUAUCAGUGGUGGUGGCUCUCCCCGACGAAGAAUCUCGUGGGUCAGAUCUCGGUGGCUCUCGUCGACGAAGAAUCUCGGUGGCUCUCAGCGACGGCAAAUCACGGUGACUCGACGGAGAAAAUCGGUGGCUCUCAGCAACGGCGAAUCACGGUGGCUAGACGGAGAAAAUCGGUGGCUCUCAGCGACGGCGAAUCACGGUGCUGAAUUUAAUCGAUGAGCAAAGCUAAGUAAUUUAUUUUAUAUUUUGAAGUCCUCUAUUUUGCAUGUUUUUGAUUUUGGUCCUUCUUGUUCGUGUUUGAUGUUUAAUACACUAAAUCUGAUUUCUUCAAUUGCAGAUGGAAGUUCCAUUGAAGAGACAAUCAUUAAUUGUCUGGAGAGGCAAUCGAUCUUCUCUGCAAACUCAAAGGUUUGAUUUUCCCGAUCUCAUCUUCUUCUCGGUUCUGUAUACAAUUCUCGUUUCUGAUAAUGAGAUGUUGAUGGAGAGAUUUCGCACUGUUUUGAUCAUUUCCUUGAUUGUUUGACUGAAUGUAAAAAUUUCCAGUGAAUGAACAUCAUGUCUAGUACUUCUUGAUCGUAUUGGUUUAGUAGAUUCUCGCUAGGUGGCUUGGUGUCUAGUACUUCAUGAUCUUGAAUCUUGAGAAUGAAGAACAGUUUUGAUCAAUUUAAUAUAUCAUUCUUGUGAUUCUUUUUGAUUCGUUUGUCUUUGUGUCUUAUGGAUAAGGAGACAUGAUAAGGAGAGAUGAUAAGGAGACAUGAGCAAUGUUAAGAAAUCAAAAGGGCAACAAUUGCAAGACACGUUGGACAAUCAACAUACGCAGAGCUUCUUGUUCUGGUUCUGAUGAUGGGGUGAGAGUUGCCAAAGUUGAGAAAGAAAUAAAUCAUUGAAGGUUCUUGUUCUCUUCUUCGAAGACGCUGAAGAUCAUCACGGGCUGUCCUUUGUAUUGUUGUGUGUCACGGGCUGUCCUUUGUAAUGUUGUGUGUCACGGGCUGUUGUUGUGUUGCGGUCUUUUGUAGUCUUGUGGUCCAUGUGUAAUGAAAGGUGUUGUUGUGUUGUGGUUGUCUGUAUUAUUGUAUCACGAGAGACACUUUGUCUUGUAAAGAUAUCGAGAGACACUUGCAUCACACACACUUAUAAAUUGUGUUGUAUUCUCACAA